GACGAACGCUGUCGGCGUGCUUAACACAUGCAAGUCGAACGGAAAGGCCCUGCUUUUGUGGGGUGCUCGAGUGGCGAACGGGUGAGUAACACGUGAGUAACCUGCCCUUGACUUUGGGAUAACUUCAGGAAACUGGGGCUAAUACCGGAUAGGAGCUCCUGCUGCAUGGUGGGGGUUGGAAAGUUUCGGCGGUUGGGGGUGGACUCGCGGCUUAUCAGCUUGUUGGUGGGGUAGUGGCUUACCAAGGCUUUGACGGGUAGCCGGCCUGAGAGGGUGACCGGCCACAUUGGGACUGAGAUACGGCCCAGACUCCUACGGGAGGCAGCAGUGGGGAAUAUUGCACAAUGGGCGGAAGCCUGAUGCAGCAACGCCGCGUGCGGGAUGACGGCCUUCGGGUUGUAAACCGCUUUCGCCUGUGACGAAGCGUGAGUGACGGUAAUGGGUAAAGAAGCACCGGCUAACUACGUGCCAGCAGCCGCGGUGAUACGUAGGGUGCGAGCGUUGUCCGGAUUUAUUGGGCGUAAAGGGCUCGUAGGUGGUUGAUCGCGUCGGAAGUGUAAUCUUGGGGCUUAACCCUGAGCGUGCUUCCGAUACGGGUUGACUUGAGGAAGGUAGGGGAGAAUGGAAUUCCUGGUGGAGCGGUGGAAUGCGCAGAUAUCAGGAGGAACACCAGUGGCGAAGGCGGUUCUCUGGGCCUUCCUGACGCUGAGGAGCGAAAGCGUGGGGAGCGAACAGGCUUAGAUACCCUGGUAGUCCACGCUGUAAACGGUGGGUACUAGGUGUGGGGUCCAUUCCACGGGUUCCGUGCCGUAGCUAACGCUUUAAGUACCCCGCCUGGGGAGUACGGCCGCAAGGCUAAAACUCAAAGGAAUUGACGGGGCCCCGCACAAGCGGCGGAGCAUGCGGAUUAAUUCGAUGCAACGCGUAGAACCUUACCUGGGUUUGACAUGGAUCGGGAGUGCUCAGAGAUGGGUGUGCCUCUUUUGGGGUCGGUUCACAGGUGGUGCAUGGCUGUCGUCAGCUCGUGUCGUGAGAUGUUGGGUUAAGUCCCGCAACGAGCGCAACCCUUGUUCACUGUUGCCAGCACGUUAUGGUGGGGACUCAGUGGAGACCGCCGGGGUCAACUCGGAGGAAGGUGGGGAUGACGUCAAGUCAUCAUGCCCCUUAUGUCCAGGGCUUCACGCAUGCUACAAUGGCUGGUACAGAGAGUGGCGAGCCUGUGAGGGUGAGCGAAUCUCGGAAAGCCGGUCUCAGUUCGGAUUGGGGUCUGCAACUCGACCUCAUGAAGUCGGAGUCGCUAGUAAUCGCAGAUCAGCAACGCUGCGGUGAAUACGUUCCCGGG
Molecule: ribosomal RNA, 1342 nt
Filed under: uncultured bacterium
Lineage: Bacteria
Description: 16S ribosomal RNA
Rfam family: Bacterial small subunit ribosomal RNA
Source: RNAcentral